This is a non-coding RNA of Paramuricea clavata, 928 nucleotides long. NCBI's taxonomy places the organism in Eukaryota, Metazoa, Cnidaria, Anthozoa, Malacalcyonacea, Plexauridae. The record is from the annotation of a GenBank genome assembly.
GUCUAAUGUCACAUUACAUUACAAAUUACAAAUAAAUACAGGACUUGCAGGCAACACCUAAACUAACGAUGACACAAAGACGGAUUGACAGGAGAGGAGAACAGAACUAACGUCCCAAUUGACAAUUGCCUUGUUUCUGUCCAUGAUAAUCGAAAAAAAUUCUCAUCUCAAACUCUGAUUGUAUGUUAUAGAGUGAAGAGUAAGACAUUCAAGAACUUUGUAUUAAAGUGGAGCAAUGCCUCCACCACCCCCACCACCACCUGGACCACCUCCACCUCCAAGUGCUGUUGCUACACGUCCACCGCCCAAGACAAAAAGCAGAGGAGCUCUACUAAGUGACAUACACAAGGGUGCAAGGCUCAAGAAGACAGUCACCAAUGACAGAAGUGGACCAACUAUUGAUAGUAAGCAUCUCUUUUAAAUAUUUUGUCAGACGUUCAUCAAUAAUGCUGCCAGAAAUUUGUAUCCUACAAACACUUAGGGAGUCCCCGCCAUCUGGGCCAUCAUACCCAGUGAAAUUUUCCCAUUUUAGGGUUUGCGAGAUGCUACUGUAUAAGUCUGUAUUUCGUGCAUUUUAGACACGUUUUAUGAUAAUCUGGAAGCCCCAGAUUUGGUAUAUUUAAUGGCAGAGGUGAAAACCUUAGCCCCCCCUGCUCCAGUUACUCCUAAGUUUUUGAAGAAUUGCAAAAUUGGUCCCGAAGAAAGGGUCCGAACCCCUCCAUUCCCCUGUGGCUAUGCUCCUGAAUAUAAAUAACAAUAUAAAUAUAAUACAUUAUUAUACUCACAUAUGCAAUUGACCAAUCACAGGAUUUUAAUGACUAAUGAGGUUAUACAUGUAUGCCUUAUUGGUCCUUUUUUUUGUAUAUCGAACCUUUUCAGGUGUUUUGUAAAUUCUGAAAUCUUUUUGUUGAAAACAUCCAGUAGGUGC